RNAcentral lists this ribosomal RNA (346 nucleotides) under uncultured bacterium. Its description in RNAcentral is "partial 16S ribosomal RNA". It matches the Rfam family "Bacterial small subunit ribosomal RNA", at positions 338 to 676 of the family's 1533-position model. The record is from RNAcentral.
CCUACGGGUGGCAGCAGUGGGGAAUAUUGCGCAAUGGGCGAAAGCCUGACGCAGCGACGCCGCGUGAGGGAUGAAGGUCUUCGGAUCGUAAACCUCUGUCAGCAGGGAAGAACGGUCACUGGGCUAAUCAGCAGUGAAUUGACGGUACCUGCAAAGGAAGCACCGGCUAACUCCGUGCCAGCAGCCGCGGUAAUACGGAGGGGGCGAGCGUUAAUCGGAAUGACUGGGCGGAAAGCGCUCGUAGGCGGUAAGUCAAGUCAAGGGUGAAAGCCCCGCGCUCAACGUGGGAACUGCCUUUGCAACUGGCACACUGGAGUGUGUGCGAGGAUAGUGGAAUUCCAGGUGU